Molecule: unclassified non-coding RNA, 241 nt
Filed under: Hevea brasiliensis (rubber tree)
Lineage: Eukaryota; Viridiplantae; Streptophyta; Magnoliopsida; Malpighiales; Euphorbiaceae
Source: RNAcentral
GGAACUUGUCCAACUUAGAGUACCUUCAGUUGUUUGGGAAUUCCCUUGUUGGGGAAAUCCCUCCUGAACUAGGCCGCUGCAAGAACCUUGCUCAUCUCGAACUAUACAGCAAUCAGCUCUCUGGAGCCAUUCCCUCUGAGCUUGGAGAUUUGGUGUAUUUAGAAACGCUGCGGUUGUAUCAAAAUAGGCUAAAUUCCACAAUUCCACUCUCCUUAUUCAAGUUGACUUCAUUAACCCAUUU